RNA transcript from Zingiber officinale, 2285 nucleotides. It is a transcript of the gene named chaperone protein dnaJ 1, mitochondrial-like, with no coding region annotated. The record is from RefSeq and is a predicted model, not a curated record. The transcript has 20 exons. Lineage: Eukaryota; Viridiplantae; Streptophyta; Magnoliopsida; Zingiberales; Zingiberaceae.
AAAAAACCGAGAUGAGGCCCAUGGCCGCUCUAGAAUCCCAUAGCCGCUCUAGAACAAUUCUGGAGUACGACGGCGAGUCAUCAACAGUGCCACCAUCUUCGCCUCCGAUCUCCAAUUCGCUCCCGUUCAAUCUCCCCGCCCCGAGUCCACCUCAUCCAUCUCUCCUCCACUCGCACCGCGCCGCCACCAUCUCCCGCGCCGCCACCAUCUCUCGCCUCCGAUGAAUAGACUAAAACUUCUGGGUUCAUCUAAAAACUCGAUCCUUUUCCUCUCUAGAAAGGUUUCUGGUCACUCUUGGACUUCUCCGGCAGUAGGUUCGCAGUUUGAUAUUAUCAGGGGAAGGGACGCUAUCUCGCCAUUUGUUAGAGCAAUCUCUCACCUUUCAACGCGUUAUGAAGCUAAUCUUGGCAUUGCUAGAAGAGCUCAUGACUUAUUGAGAUUGAAGAAAGUUUUGUUAAGCCAGUCAUUUCAUGCAACAGGACCUUGUCAUGCCAUUGAGAAGGACUACUAUGAAAUCCUUAGUGUCCCAAAAAAUGCUUCAUUAGAUGACAUCAAGAAGGCUUUUCAUGAGCUUGCUAAGAAGUACCAUCCAGAUGCAAACAAGAACAAUCCUGCAUCAAAGAGAAAGUUUCAAGAGAUAAGAGAUGCAUAUGAGACAUUGCGGGAUCCCGAGAAGAGAGCACAUUAUGACAAGAAUUUCUCCAGAGGACCAGAGAGGGCAAGGUACUCUGCAGAUAGUACAGAGGAGUUCCGUGAAGCUUAUCGUGAUCCUUUCUCAGAAUUCCACCAAUCCAACCGUGGUCCUUUCUCAAGUUCAUUUUACAGAAUUUUCUCGGAGGUCUUUGAAAAUGAGAGAGAAACAUAUGCAGAUGAUGUAGAGGUGGAGCUAAAUCUUUCAUUUGCUGAAGCUGCUAAAGGUUGUAUUAAGAAGGUGUCUGUUGGUGCACAAGUUCUCUGUAACUCAUGCUAUGGAAGAGGCCAUCCAGUUAAUACAAAGCCAGUGAGAUGCCCUACCUGUGAUGGCGUUGGAAGGGUCUCAGUGUUUCCUUUUACAUCCACAUGCCGAUCAUGCAAAGGGUCAGGGAAGAUAAUCAAGGAUUAUUGCGCAACCUGCAGGGGGUCAGGGUUCGUUGAUGGUGUGAAGAAUGUUGAUGUAAAUAUUCCAGCAGGGGUUGAUUCUGGGGAUACUAUUUGUGUGCCAAAUGCUGGAAAUCAAGGAGGACGGGGCGCCCAUCCUGGCGAUCUAAACAUUAAAUUGAAGGUAGGAAAGGACCCUGUUUUCACACGAGAUGGUGCUGAUGUAUAUGUUGACACCCAUAUAAGUUUCACUCAGGCUAUUCUUGGUGGUAAGGUUGAAGUUCCCACUUUGACUGGCAAAGCAGAAUUGAAGAUACCAAAAGGAGUGCAGCCAGGACAAUUGUUAGUUCUAAGGGGUAGAGGUUUGCCAAAGCAAGUUGGCCUAGUCGAUCAUGGCGACCAAUAUGUGCGAUUCCGUGUGCAUUUUCCUUCAUCUGUAACAGUACGCCAACGAGAAUUGUUGGAAGAAUUUGCUAAAGAGGAGGCGGAACAGGAAAGCUAUGUGUUCGCUAAUGGAAACUGAGCUCAAUUGAGUGAUAAGAUCGAUGUAGGGAUAAACACGACUUGAUGACGAUGACGAUUUUAUGGAAGGUGUGGUUGAUCUUGCCAAUAAUAACUGCUGUUUUAUUUCUAUGACCUAGUUGAAGCUCUAUGAAGAGGCUAUAUCAACAGAUUUACCAGCAGCUCUCUACUGGUUGAAAUUACAGGUGGCAGCAAGUCGUGAAUUGUGUGAGCGAUCCCAGGUUCAUGCUCGGCAUUGCCUUUCUCAUGUUGCUUAACUUACUGGUGAGAAAAAGCUUGAGCUGAAGGGGCUGAUGCAUGGCCCAAACUAUCAGGCGCCGUUAAGCAUUUGGAGGAAGUCCUGAUCGAGCGUGCUAAAGCUAAGCAAAUGCCUGGAUUUGCAUGGUAGAUGAGCCAAGGCAUAGAAUCAAAUUAACAUCUGGACCAAUUUUUUCUUGGUAGGAUUCAGAUGCCUAAUUGGUGAGAAGGCAUUUAUUUAUUUUUCCCCCCUAAUAGAAUAAAGCAAUUUACUUUUUGAUACCUUAAGCCAUGGAAAGUGAGUCUUCCAAUCUGGAUACUAUAUAUUUGUUCUAGCUGCCCACCUUACAAUGAUAAAAGAAAAUAUUAUUUGCAUGCAUUAUCGUGUUGGAAUUUGUAACUUGAUUCAAAAUUUUGCAAGUAAAAUGAAAUGUAUUGGUUGUAGUUAA